This 400-nucleotide unclassified non-coding RNA is filed under the name soil metagenome. RNAcentral's name for it is "partial contains 5.8S ribosomal RNA, internal transcribed spacer 2, and large subunit ribosomal RNA". The stretch from base 1 to 122 matches the Rfam family "5.8S ribosomal RNA", at positions 35 to 154 of the family's 154-position model. The record is from RNAcentral.
GAUGAAGAACGUAGCGAAAUGCGAUACUUGGUGUGAAUUGCAGAAUCCCGUGAACCAUCGAGUCUUUGAACGCAAGUUGCGCCUCAAGCCAUUAGGUUGAGGGCACGUCUGCCUGGGCGUCACAUAUCGUUGCCUGAUGCCAGUUUCCUCGUGAUGGGUGACUGUGCAGGGCGAAUGAUGGCUUCCCGUGAGCAUUGUUGCCUCAUGGUUGGUUGAAAAUUGAGUCCCUGGUAGGGAGCGCCGUGAUAGAUGGUGGUUGAGUGACGAACGAGACCCAAUCAUGUGAGACCCCUACCGAAUUUGGCCUUCAUGACCCACAUGCGUCUUUGGAACGCUCAUGACGAGACCUCAGGUCAGGCGGGGCUACCCGCUGAGUUUAAGCAUAUCAAUAAGCGGAGGA